This 766-nucleotide ribosomal RNA is filed under the name Staphylococcus epidermidis. RNAcentral describes it as "bacterial SSU rRNA". It matches the Rfam family "Bacterial small subunit ribosomal RNA", at positions 28 to 776 of the family's 1533-position model. The record is from RNAcentral. Lineage: Bacteria; Bacillati; Bacillota; Bacilli; Caryophanales; Staphylococcaceae.
GAUGAACGCUGGCGGCGUGCCUAAUACAUGCAAGUCGAGCGAACAGAUAAGGAGCUUGCUCCUUUGACGUUAGCGGCGGACGGGUGAGUAACACGUGGAUAACCUACCUAUAAGACUGGGAUAACUUCGGGAAACCGGAGCUAAUACCGGAUAACAUAUUGAACCGCAUGGUUCAAUAGUGAAAGGCGGCUUUGCUGUCACUUAUAGAUGGAUCUGCGCCGUAUUAGCUAGUUGGUAAGGUAACGGCUUACCAAGGCAACGAUACGUAGCCGACCUGAGAGGGUGAUCGGCCACACUGGAACUGAGACACGGUCCAGACUCCUACGGGAGGCAGCAGUAGGGAAUCUUCCGCAAUGGGCGAAAGCCUGACGGAGCAACGCCGCGUGAGUGAUGAAGGUCUUCGGAUCGUAAAACUCUGUUAUCAGGGAAGAACAAAUGUGUAAGUAACUGUGCACAUCUUGACGGUACCUGAUCAGAAAGCCACGGCUAACUACGUGCCAGCAGCCGCGGUAAUACGUAGGUGGCAAGCGUUAUCCGGAAUUAUUGGGCGUAAAGCGCGCGUAGGCGGUUUUUUAAGUCUGAUGUGAAAGCCCACGGCUCAACCGUGGAGGGUCAUUGGAAACUGGAAAACUUGAGUGCAGAAGAGGAAAGUGGAAUUCCAUGUGUAGCGGUGAAAUGCGCAGAGAUAUGGAGGAACACCAGUGGCGAAGGCGACUUUCUGGUCUGUAACUGACGCUGAUGUGCGAAAGCGUGGGGAUCAAACAGG